CUGAUUUCAAGUUUUAUUUGAUGUUUAUAGUGACAAUUUUAAGAUGUUAACUAUAUGAUGGCAAUGGGGAGUUAUCUCCAGCUUUCUCUAAGUUUAUUUUGUGUUCUGUUUAUUUGUAGCACUUAUUUGAGCAUGGGCCACUUUUAGAUGGGUUGCAGUGACAACAUUCAUGGGAUCUUGCCUGUGCUUGUGGAGGAAGAUGCCGGAAACAUCCUCUUAUUUAAGGUCAGCUUUUCUAUGGAGGUGGAGGAGUGAGGAAUUAAUGAAGAACUGAAGUUGAACCUGGGAAUAUGAGUGAUGGAGGAGACAUUUUCCUUCAGACUCCUGAGCUGUUUCAUCUUAUUUUCUCCCCAUCCUGUUGAGGACAGGCAGUGAGGGAGAGCAGCUGGCUGCUAGCCAAGAUCAACCCCUCCACCAGUAAAUAUAUACCUUUGGAGUAGUUCCUGGUAAUACUAGUUUGAUCUGUGAUGAACUCAGAAGACACCACUGCAGGACCAUUCAGGGAAGCUGCAGUUCAGUCUGCCUGUUUGUAAGCUGCUUUUCUCUGGCUUCUAAAUAUUGCUAAUUCAAUUUAGAGAGGGAACAGCUUCCAAGUAGCUUUAAGGUGAAAGUUAAUGAUCAGAUAUCUUCAUGCAAUGUUUGAAUUGCUUGCCCAUCAAGGCACAGAGAUUUGUUUUGUGGGACCCUUUUUAUGUUUUGUACUAUGCUGUCUUGCAGCACCAAGAAAGGGAAAUUUACUACUGCUAUCUGAGGGCAGGUCCUGGCAUUUUUUUCUCCAGUACUGCAGAGUAAUUAUUCUUAAAUACUCCAGUAUCCCCUUUAAGGCAUUGGAGGAUAACUCGGCUGUGAAAAUGCAGUUAUUCUCCAGCAGAUUGUAAAGAAUUAGUCUGCUCUUCUAUGCUUCUAUAUCCUCCUUAAUUAAUUGGUGUUUGAUAAUACUGCUUUCUCCUUUUCUGUCUUUCCUUUCUCUGUUUCCUUUUGUUUGACUAUUGUUUCUUUUACAAGUUUCUCUUGACUCUUUACAUGCACAUAAAGUACUUUUCUCCUGAAUAUAAUCUUUUUUCCUUAUUUAUAUGAAUAACCAUUAAUUAUUUAUUAUUUCCCCUGAACCAUUAAAUAAGUCCUAAUUACUCUAUAUACAGGUAAAAUAAAAAUAUGAUAUGCAAUUCAUUGUUUAUAUUGCAAGAUGAUGUGGUAUUGUAUAAUUAUUCUUUGCGGAUACUACUUGGGAAGGAAUACUGCAUUCUUUGAUUUAUAUUCUUGAAUUUAAUAACAUAAGUACAUAUAAUGCUCCAGAGUAUUCUUGAAUUAUGUGGAGGAGAAAAAGGGUUAUGCCUAAUACCAGAAAUCCGAGCUCAGCUUUUACUUUUUGUUAUUCCCACAAAAUUCUGUGGCAAUCAAGCCUAUCAAAAGCAUUGAUGCAGAUAGAAUUUAAUUCACUUACAGGGAUUCUUAGUGAAUAUUCGUGUGUGUGUGUGUGUGUUUGAAUACAUUCAUUUCUUUGAGGACAAACUGGAAAAUUUGGUCUCCAAAUGAUUAGAGCACAGUGUGCAAAACCUGGGUGGCUAUCUUUGAGUAAGCUUCAGCAGCUGUACCUUCUGUCUUAGAUGAACUAGGUCAGCAUGGUGAUUUUUAUGAUUUGCUAGAGAGUAAAGUUUAUUCCAUUAAAAUUUGUUUUUCCAGGCUUAUGCAAGCAGUGCUUUCUGUCAAAAUAUAGUCUGUGUUUCAUGGUUUACAUGGAUGAGAUGUGAUUUAAUAAGUAAAUGAACUUAGAUGACACAGAAAGUUUCUAUCUCGUAUUUGUGUGGAAAAUAGUUUGGUAAUAUUUCCACAUUUGCUGUUAUGUCUUGAACAUAUGAUGGGUAAUACAGGAGAAGUUUUUACUGUCAUCCUGUAUCUUCCUGUAAGCUUGUAGCACUUCAGUAGACAUUGGUAUUCUCUAAGAAAAUGGAAGUUCAGAAUUAGUAAGGGAAUUUCUACAAAUGACAUCUUUUGGGUCGCAAAUAAUCUCAGAUCUUUAUUUCCACAUACAUACCAUGGCUCAGAGGAACCUACUUGAUUUCACAGACUGAAAAUGUGGCCUCCGCUGAAGCACUUUUCAUUAAAUUAAAUCCAUGUUUCCCUAAUUUCUUUUCAAAUUUGUACUGCAAGCCUGAAUCCAGUUUUCAGAGAUCAGAAUGCCAGUGGUAUUCUCUUAACAGUCAGUGCUAAUAUACUGACAUAUUACAUGAUGAUGAAAAUAGUUUAAAAAUGAAAAGAAGAAAUCUGUAAUGCAUCAGCAGUUUUGUCUGGAAACAUUAAUCUUUGCUUUCUGAACUCUACCAGAUUUCCUGUGUCUUUAUUUUAAUUGCAUGCACUGAUUGUGUGCUUACGUUCUUUUUCUAAGAGCACUGAAGUGCUUUCCCGCUUAUAGUGUGCAAAUUCUUAGUGAAACACAGGUUCUCUGAGAUGCAUUUCCAUCAGUUUUUCAGAGUGAAGCACAGUGGAGUUCUCUUUGUCAAUACUCAGUGGAAAAAAAACAAAAAACAACCACUUGAAUAAAUGUUGUACUUACUGGUACUUUUUCAUAUCUUAAAACUUGUGGAGCAUUGCAAUGGUUGGGAACCAACUUUGAGACUGUGAUGAUGUGAGACAACUUCGUAGCACAUUUAUUGCUGCAUAGCUCAGUGGUGAUGAAAUUCCUCUAGAGAAAUAUAAAAUAUAAAAUGCCAAAAUAUUUUCUCAUGUCUUUCCUUUAAAUUAAAUUUCAUGCUGUUUUCACUUUUCUGAAUUGAUUCUUGGGGUGUAAUGCCAAGUGCUGAUCAUAAGAUAAAAUUGUAUCAAUUUCUUCUUCAUUUUCUUUGUCCUAAAUUAUUAAGAGAUCUUACUUUCAACUAUCUGGGGUCCUUCCUUCAGACAAAAAAUCACGGACAAGAAAACAAAACUUCCCAACCUUUUCAGUCUGACCUCAAUAAUGAAAAAGCUCACAUUUGACUGACACAAAUUCUGAGAAAACUUUUUGGAUAGGUUAUAAAGUUAUUUCUUGUAAUCACCUGAGUCCAUUCUGCUGUUGACUGUAUAUGAAACACGGAUGUACCUUACCAGAUGUUCUUUCCUUGUCCCUUGUUAUGGGUUAUUAGCCACGAUGACUUGCUAUUUCGCAUUUUAAUGUAUAUUUUAAGUAGCUCUCAGUAGGAAUUUAAUUUAGAAUAGAACAGAGUAGUUCAGUUGAAAGGAAUCUGCAAAGAUAAUUGAGUCCAACUGCCUGACCUCUUCAGGGCUAACCAGAAGUUAAAGCAUGUUAAUGAGGGCAUUAUCCAAAUGCCUCUUGAACACUGCAAACACAGGCCAUCAACCACCUCUCUAGGGCACCCCAUGCCCAUCUGACCUCUGCAUCCCCUCCUCAGGGCUGUGCAGAGAGCAGUGAGGUCACCUCUCAGCUUCCUCUUCUCCAGAUGGAGCAACCUGAGUGUCCUCAGCCUUCAGGACACACCUUCCAGCCUUAGUACAAGCUUUGCUGCACUCCUCUUGUCAAAUUCAAGGAUCUUGACACCUUUUUUUAUAUUAUGGAGCCCAGGAAUGAACACUCUAUUCAAAGGCCAGUCUGCACCAACACUAAAUACAGUGGGAGAAUUGCCUCUUUUGACUGACUACUAAGCAGUUUUUAAUGCACCUUAAAAGGCAGUUUGCCAUCUUGUCUGCCAGGGCACACUGGUGGAGAUUAUUGAGCCUGCUGUCACCCCAGGUCCUUUUUUGCUAAGCUGUUCCACAGCCAUUCAUUUCCUAGUCCAUGCCUGUGAACAGCACUUUCCAACCUUAGGUGAAACAAUUAUAUUUACCCUUGCUUGACGCUAUUGAUGAUUGCUUCAGUGCACCAUCUACCUAAAUUCCUCUACAAGGCCUCUCUACCCUUGAGCAGCUGCCGAUGUUGAGGAAUUGAGGAUUGUUGAGGAACUUGCUAAGGUUGCAUUGAACUCCUGCAUCCAGGUAAAGCAUACAGGUUUUCUUUCAGCCAAGCUAUAAAACAAAACAGUGUCUUUGAAAUAUUCAGUUAUAGAAAAAAAAUAAUUAAAAAACAGGAAAAAAAAAAAGUGGAAAUAACUUUGCCCUUUACUUGCAGCAUCUACAAAGCAGAGUAUGUUCGUAAAUCACAGAAAAGCUGUGAAUUGCAAACACAGCUGUUUCAGAAAUACUUAGUAGCCUGAGGGAAAAGAUGGCAGAAUUACCCAACUGCCCUCACAGAGUAAAUAGCAUGCAAUUUCAAAUAUUUCCAGUUAUUAAGCAAAAGAAAAAAAGAUAAAAAUGUGGUGUGUCCUGGGCUUCUAAAGUUGGUUGAAUGUCUGUGUAGAAGUAGACAUGGAUCAUUUGCAGCCUGGGGGUCUUUGCCCUGGUAUCCUGGAGCUGCAUUGCUCCAGUUUCCCACUGAGUGUUUCAGUGCUCAAGCCUACAGAAGGAGCGCAAUGUUUUGCGUGCUGCGAAUCCCUGCUCACAGAGCACUAAUCUCAGCAUUUAGAUAAUCCCAGACUCUGCCCCAGCAAAGAGUGACAGAUUAAAGGCAAUUAGUGCUGUCAAAUCAAGUUAUGAUUUAUUUGUUAAAUGCAAGAUUUCUUCUCAAGGUCAGUGCUACUGAGCAUAUUAUGGAUGUUCAGUUUUCAUUCAUGCAAUCAUUUUUAAGUGUUAAUUACAGGCAUUAAUUAAACAAUAAUAAGUGUGCUUUUAAAGGAGUGAUAGCUUUUAUUGUUUGUUCUGCCUCUUUUUUUCCCCAUGAAGUGAUGGGGAUGCAAUGAGUUCAUUUGUUUUCUGCAUUGUCAUGUUUUGUUAUGGGGCUUUUUUGGAAAGAUAAAGUGGUGACAGUGUUGUAUAAGAGUUCCAGAAAGACGAUGAUGUCACCUCAGUUCUUUAUAUAAAGGGCUUUAGUAGAAUUAGAAUAUUAGUUGAGUAAUCUCACAAACAAUUUAGAGACCAUUUACAAAAGUAAUUUCAAGAGGUAUCUAUUAAUGUUUACAAGAAACACUAAUAACUAACUAAUAAAAUGAUUACAUGUAAGUAGAAGAAUUAUAGGUUAGUUGCCAUCUAGUCAUCUCUUUUGUCUAUACUGUCACAACUCUUCUGAUUUUGUUCUCUUUGUAGCUGGUAUCAGUGGCACUCAGUUUUGUCUUUGUAUGCAUAAUGUCUUUGAUAGCAGUCAAAUUCCUAUAUGUGUUUUGCUUUGCCCAUUUAGAGAACAAGCAUAGAACUUAACACAGUUAUAAAUCAGAAAUUUACAAGCUUGUUACUGUAAAUUCAGAAUUGGGUAGCGUUACAUAGGAGCACAAUGAGAAGCUUAUAGGCAAACUUAAAUAGAAAGUGUCCUAAUAAGGAAGUGUUAAGCCUGUGUGAAAAAGUGAUAGGAAGACAAAAAUGAAAACUAUGGGGAAAAAAUAACUGACAUCAGUACUUUUAUGACAAACAUACAAAUUAGAAAUAAGCUGGGAUUGCCUGUCUUGCAGCCAGACCUCCAUCUAGAAUAGAACCUUCUUCAGAAACACGUUAUUUUUUUCCACAGUCAUUCCUUCAGCCUGAGCACCAGCUGGAUAAAGAUAAGGCAAUUACAUGUUCUCUGGUCCAUGUCUGGAAUAUAAAAAUAGCUGUACAAACGAGUCAGCUCAGAAGUACUUCUGGCAAUGGCCAGGAGUAUAUUCCUGAUGAACAGAUUCCCUUCAGUCACCCUGUUUCUUGAAGCCCAUGGCUGUUCAGUCCUAUCACAAAGUCAGUAAAUGGGUUUCAUGGACUUUUCUUUCAUGUAGUUGUAUAAUUGUCAUUUGAACCCAUAGCGUUUUGUGGCACAGUGAAAUUGUUAUACUUUGUUCCACCGUAGAAUUCUGCAAACAUUUGGGUUUUUUAAGAGUGAUGGGGUUACAGUUUACUUCCUUGAAGCUUCACCAUAAAAGAUCUCAUGAUGCCUGUCGUGAUGUUGUAUGUCUUACUGCCAGCAUUUUUAGUUUUCAAAUGCUUCAUUAUAUUUUUCCCUAUAUUUCAUUUUAUCAUGCAUCAAAAACUCAAGAUUAACUAGAUGCUUUCUCAGAGAUGCAGGGUAAUAGCAAUAAAAAGUAUUAGAAAUCUUGAAUCUUUCCAGUCCAUCAUGAAGGUCUGAGUGCAUGGUGUACUCUGGCAGAGUGCUGAGAGGUUAUAGUUGACCUGUUUUGUUUUGUUUUUCUCCAGCUGUGUUCACGGAUAGCAUAUAGAACAUAUUUGAUACAAAUGCUACUCCAGCAAUAGCUUUCAGUGUGCAGCUGUUGAUGCUGAGGUUUUUCAAAUGAGACUUUUGAAAUUAAAUUCUGAUUUUCAACCUGAUGUGUGUAAGCCCAGCUUCUACUUUCCAGGCUGAGUACUUCUUUUAAGGCAUCCAAUUCAUUUUUUUCCAUCCUUUCUUAUAAGGUUAUACAUUCUCAAAGUCCUGUUGAUAUCUUUGCUCUGUGUUUCCUUUCUUCUUCUGACUGCUUUUCUCUGUUACAUUUACCUAUACGUCUGCAGGGACCUACCUCAGAAUUCUGCAUCAUUCUGCUUCAAACUUUGCUUGUUGGUUCUUAUACAUAUGAAGAAGUACAAUAACCUGAAUGCAUGAGAAUAGAAUGAGUCUGAGAAAAUUGUGCUUUAACUAGAGAGGUCUGUUUUCCUCAGAGUAGAAACAAGGAUAGUAUUAAAUUGCUAAAGAAAACAUUGCCAAUGUAACCCUUCUAUUCUGUAUAUAAAUAAUCACUAUAAAUCACCAGUAAAGCUAUUCCAACAUGAACAUGGCCUAAAAGAACUCCUUUGAAAGCAUCUUCUAAUGAUUGCAUCCAGUUCUUAUUCCAUGCUUACUUUUUAUUCUAGACUAUUGCACUGCUGCUUCUAGUCUUCAGGCCAUUUUGUUUUAUUCCUUUUUUAAAGAUAUAUCUUUUGCUGAUAAGCACAUCUUGUUUGUUCAUAUGCUUAUUUUGUUAAAUGUUAAAUAUUUAAUUAUUUUUCUUUUUCCUCAAAUGCCUUAUUUGGCAGAGCUUAGUGAUUAUUCUGAAGAGCUGCUUAAAAUGUGAAUUUCCUGUCAUUUUAACUUCCGUUCUGAAAGAACAAACACAAAAGAUUUAGGAGGUUCUUCCAUGCCAUGUGAAACAAAUACACAUGUUUUGAAGGAAUGAGUUGAUUCAAUACUUGCAUUUAUGCUGUCAGUUUUUAGAAGUGUGUUUGAAAAUAAAAAUG
This is a long non-coding RNA of Coturnix japonica (Japanese quail), 7194 nucleotides long. RefSeq lists it as uncharacterized. The record is from RefSeq and is a predicted model, not a curated record. Lineage: Eukaryota; Metazoa; Chordata; Aves; Galliformes; Phasianidae.